Molecule: ribosomal RNA, 377 nt
Filed under: uncultured bacterium
Lineage: Bacteria
Description: bacterial SSU rRNA
Rfam family: Bacterial small subunit ribosomal RNA
Source: RNAcentral
AAACGUAGGAGACUAGCGUUAUCCGGAUUUAUUGGGCGUAAAGCGCGUGUAGGCGGUGCUUCAAGUUGGAUGUGAAAUCUCCUGGCCUAACUGGGAGGGGCCAUUCAAAACUGGGGCACUUGAGGGCAGAAGAGGGAAGCGGAAUUCCCGGUGUAGCGGUGGAAUGCGUAGAUAUCGGGAGGAACACCUGUGGCGAAAGCGGCUUCCUGGGCUGCCCCUGACGCUGAUACGCGAAAGCUAGGGGAGCGAACGGGAUUAGAUACCCCGGUAGUCCUAGCUGUAAACGAUGGAUACUAGGUGUUGGUGGUAUUAACCCCAUCAGUGCCGAAGCUAACGCGUUAAGUAUCCCGCCUGGGGAGUACGGCCGCAAGGCUAAA